GCGGCGCCGUCCGGUGCCCGGGCGGGGUGCCGCAGUCCGCGGCCCGGGUGCCCCCGUACCACCGCACCGCGACUCGGCUGGCUGAUCUCUCGGAGAGCCCGUAACUAAAACACACCAAAAUGUCGGACGAAGAAUACUCAUCUGAGGAGGAGGUCAGCGAGGAGGAGGAGGAGGAGGAGGUCCCAGAGGCCAAGGAAGAAGAGGCACCGGCGCAAAAGCAGGAAGAGAAGAAGGAGAACAUUUUCACGCAGCGGCAGGAGAAGAAGAACACAGAGCUCGACGAGCAGCUGAAGGAGUACAUCGCGGAAUGGCGCAAACAGAGGGCCAAGGAGGAGGAGGAGCUCAACAAGCUCAAGGAGAAGCAGGCCAAGCGCAAGGUCCUGCGCGCCGAGGAGGAGAAGCGCCUGGCCGAGGCCAAGAAGGCCGAGGAUGAGCGCCGCUACCGCGAGGAGCAGGAGAAGAAACAGCGCGAGCAGGAGGAGAAGAAGCGCCGGCUGGAGGAGGCCGAGAAGAAGAGGCAGGCGCUGGCCCAGGCGCAGAAGGCCGCCGCCGGAGGAAAGGCCAACUUCAAGGUCGGCAAGAAGGACGAUAAGCUGUCCAACAUCCAGGCUGCCAAGAACGAGAUCAGCAAGACCAAGGAGCAGCUGGCAGAGGAGAAGAAGAUUGCCCUCAGCAUUCGCAUCCAGCCUCUCAAAGUCGAUGGUCUCGGUCUCGAGGCGCUGAAGAAGAAGGCGGAGGACAUGUGGAACCAGAUCGUGAAGCUGGAGACGGAGAAGUACGACCUGGAGGAGCGCCAGAAGAGGCAGGACUACGACCUUAAAGAGCUCAAAGAGCGACAAAAGCAGCAGCUGCGACACAAAGCCCUUAAGAAGGGGCUCGAUCCCGAGGCCCUGACCGGCAAGCACCCGCCCAAAGUGCGUUUGGCGUCCAAGUUUGAGCGGCAGGUUGAUAGGCGCACAUUCUCCGAGAAAACCCAUCUGUUCGAUGGUGUGAGUGGAGUUACCGGAAGGCGUUUGUGCUGGAGUAGCCGUACACCCUUUGCAGAAGUCGUAGGCAGCGGUUCGUGAGUGUAGUCGCAGUUCAGAACCGCACGGAUCGCAGUGAGGAGCAGUCAGUAGUCCGGGUGGUAGCUAGGAGUCUAUCGCGCCCGGUAGUCGGCGGGAGUCUAUCGUUCCAGGGUAGGUAGUCGUUAGGGGUCGUCAGGCCAGCAUGCUGACUGGCAGUGUGGUGCUGUGUUCUAGCCCAAGAUCCGAGUGGCGUCCAAGUUUGAGAGGACCAUCGACCAUCGCUCGUAUGGCGAUAAGAUGAACCUCUUCAACGGCGGCUUUGAAGCUAAGGAGAAGGAAGAACAGGACAAAAUAUGGACCGUCCGAUUGAAGGACUUCGGUGAUCGGGCAAAGACGCGGCUGCCAAAGUGGUUCGGCGAGCGACCCGGUAAGAAGACCGACGAUCCUGAAACUCCUGAGGAGGAGGAGAAGGAGGAGGAAAUGGCGCCGCCGGCCGACGAGCCGGAGGAGGAAGAGGAAGAAGAGGAGGAAGAGGAGGAGGAAGAGGAGGAAGAAGAAGAGGAAGAAGAGGAGGAGGAAGAGGAAGAAGAGGAAUAAAUUCAACCCAGCGUAUGCUUCAAGUCUGUGUACCAUUGUCGCUCAACCGUGUCUCCAUGUCAACUUCAACGUAACUCCUGCUACUGCCUUCUCGUCGCGGGCGCCGCGGCGGCCGAUCCACUGACGUCAUCAAAUCGACCCAGUGACGUCACAGGCCGGCUCCGUGUCACCGCGGCGACCCUAUCCCGGCUCUCAGCUCAUCCAGUGCCGGAAACACACCGAAAUUCAUACUCAUGCGCCAACGGGCGGGCGUGGCGUGCGGCCCGUGUAACACCGGUCUGUCGGUCACGUGUGAGGUCAGGUCACCCGGGUGGGUGGGGCCAGCGCGCGGCGGGACCCAGCCACCGUUCUGCGCCCCGGCCCGGCCCGCCCGGUCACCGGAGAGGCAGCCUGGGCAGCGCCCGGGCGCCCCAGGACCCCGCACGAGCUCCAGCCGCCGCGGACUUGGUGAUUGCCAUCAAUACACAUCUCGGUACGGGA
RNA transcript from Amphibalanus amphitrite, 2084 nucleotides. It is a transcript of the gene named troponin T-like, with no coding region annotated. Lineage: Eukaryota; Metazoa; Arthropoda; Thecostraca; Balanomorpha; Balanidae. The transcript has 17 exons. The record is from RefSeq and is a predicted model, not a curated record.